This 339-nucleotide long non-coding RNA is filed under the name Ananas comosus (pineapple). RNAcentral's name for it is "long non-coding RNA (ACOM_LNC004393)". The record is from RNAcentral. Lineage: Eukaryota; Viridiplantae; Streptophyta; Magnoliopsida; Poales; Bromeliaceae.
AAAUAUGAAUCAACUAGGAUUCGAACUUGGGUCUUGGAUACCAACCACCAAGUCCUUUGCCACUUGCUCUAGGGACGAUCGGUCAAAAUCUCAUUGUUGCUACUAGUUUUUUAGCCUUUGGAUCAACUCUUUUCAUCAUUUCUAACCAUUGGAUUAAAUACUAUAACCCAGUGGGGACCACUCAACCCUAGGGAGACUACUCAACUCUAAUCGACUAAUAUCAUCCUGACCCUACAAUUUUUCAUCCAAGGGUUAAAAACUUGAUAGCAAAAAAAGCGUUUUACUAUUAAUAGUAUUCCAGCCUAAUUCUGUAUAUAUAUAUCAAAGGAGGAUAGUAGC